AUUGUGAACACAGUGAUGGCUAAUUGUUACGAUAGUAAAUCGACUAGAUAUAUCAGUUCUUAUCAAAUCGUGAGUGAAAAAAAUCAAGGGGCAGGUGUCCAAAAUUUUUAUUCAAUAAAUCCAACUACGUUUUUUCGCAUUUUUACAAGUAUUUGCCAUUAUGAAAAAAAGUCAGGGGUUCAGAUUCCUAGCUAAAACACCUAACCAGACACUUUGUCACUCCGAAAUCGGGUUCAUAAACAUUCGAAAGUUAAAAAAUAAAAAACAACCAUGGAUAAUUGGGACGGGUGCAGUUACUGUUAUGGAUAAUUUAAUAUAUAACUGUAAGCGAUUAUAAACCAUUGGUCACGAAAAAGCGAGCG
Molecule: non-coding RNA, 362 nt
Organism: Cinara cedri
Lineage: Eukaryota; Metazoa; Arthropoda; Insecta; Hemiptera; Aphididae
Source: the annotation of a GenBank genome assembly